UUUUCCUUGAUUCCCAGAGUUUCCCUUGUUCUAAAUGUACUGCAUGAGCUUCUGAAUGUACUUGGAGAUUUACCAGUACCUCUCCUUGCCAGUUGUAGCUCCUCACCCCAGCCUGUCAUCUGUCUGCCCCACCCUCCUCAACCUCUGGACUAUAAGAACUCUGAGCCUUGACUUAGUUGUCUCUGUAUUCUUAGCUUGCGGCAGUGUCUGACACAUAGUAGAUGCUGAAUAAAUGUCUGCUGGGAGAAUGCAUGAAUGAAUGAAUGCAUGGAGGAAGAGGAAGGAGAGGAAGAGAGAGAAGAAGAUAGUGGGAAGGAAGAGAGGAAGAGGAAAUAAAAAACAGGAAAAGGAGAUGGAAGAAGAAGGAGAGUGCAGUAUAGGGUCGGAAAGAAAAAAGGCAUCCCUUGAUUUGAUCUUAUCCCCUUUGUCUUCCUGGGGACUGGAAGGCCCUUCUCAGUUCCUUUCUUUUCCCUCUCCUCCCAACAGGAUAAGGACUUUGGCCACAGCCCUGCCUAUCCCCCAGGUAUCCCCAUAAAGUCUUUAACCCUUAGAUAUAGAACUGCUCUGUCCCUUUUCUACAAAACAAAUGUGUUAUUUGGGCAGAAGAGGAAAGGAGAAAAUUUGAAGUGGAAAAAUCUUUGGUUUGGAAAUUCAGCUGACUGCCCUCAUUUGGAAUAAAAUGUCCUUCAGUCCCUGGCUGUGUGGCAGGCAGGCCCGGCCAACAGCAACACCGGAUGCCGGGAGACUGGGAGGAGGCCUGGGGAUUUUCAGAGGAGCCGCCAGAGUGGUAUGAACUUGGAAUCCAGGAAGAGAGUGAUGGGGCUCAUCUCCAAGGGCUGAAUCCCUAUCCUCUUCCUCAUCUCUGUCCAGACAGUGGUCAGUUGUCCCGAUGUGUCAGGCAGAGUGCUGUCCUGGGGGCACAGACAGGACCAGGAGAAGCAAGUCCUGAGGGAGAACAGGGGCUGGGUCUGUCUCAUGUCCUGAGCACCAACCUCAGCAUCUGACACAUGGAAGGUACCCAAGAAACAUCAGCUGGGAAAAAAAAAGUAACCCUUGUCCCGAGGGGUUGACAGGAGACCCAGACUUUGCACUCAGGAGAGAGGGAGGUUGGAAGCGCCACUGAGAGGAGUCAGAGGAAAGUGUAAGGAGACUUGUAAAAAAAGGAGGUGGUCAUGAGGAUGAAAGUCAUAUGUGAAGGAUGAUGGAACAGAGGGACUAAAGGAGCCUGCCCUGGACACCCUGAUUUCCUGCUAUGGGGAGUGAAAAAGAAGCCAUAGUCCCAUGGAUUCUGUUACCAGCCACUGAGUGCAAUCCUACCUGAUCCCAUGGUCCUCACCAAGGCUGUGUCUGCUUAGGAAAUGGAGAAUGGUCCCCAAACCACAGCAGCAAAAAUGAGUGGAAGGGUUGAGCAUUAUUUCCAGCCUUGGUUGCUCUGGUGAUUGGUGCCUGGGAGGGGCAGGACCUCCAUCCAACAGACUGUACCAGCAGAGUCGUAAGAGGUAGGACUUUGGAGAUUCAGCCGUAUGUUCUAUGGGUGGACUGAAGGCUGAAGGAGGAAGAGGUAGAAGUGCAUUGCUACCGACCUACUCCAUCCCACGUGCAGACUCCCUCGACCCCCAACCCCAGGCUGUCACCUGCUCCUAUAUUCAUUUUCUCUGAGGUUGGAGGAAAGAGAAAGGAGACAGCAAUGGCCAGACUUCCCUGGGGUUCCCAAACUGGUUAGUGUGCUCUGCUCAAGUGCUGGCUCCCCGCCCCUCUCUAUGCACACACUCAGCCCAUGUUCACUGAUUCCCAUCCUACCCUCCAGU
Molecule: long non-coding RNA, 1808 nt
Organism: Homo sapiens (human)
Lineage: Eukaryota; Metazoa; Chordata; Mammalia; Primates; Hominidae
Gene: BMNCR
Product: bone marrow associated non-coding RNA
Exons: 3
Source: RefSeq, a predicted model, not a curated record